CAGAAAAACUAGCCUUCUGAUAUCAGCAUCCUCAGGAUACAGAGUUUAAAAAUACCAUUUCCUUUACCCAGCUGCCUUGUGUCCUGAGCUGAGCACCCCGACACUGACCCACACCCCUAAGGGAGCUAAUGCAUCGGAUGGGUCUGUGCAGAGUGACUGAGAAGCAGUAUCUUUGCCAUCAGUGUCUUUCUGAGGAACUGAGUUUGUAAAUCUGUCUCUACUAAGAUGUCCUCCAUCAUCCUAAGCCCUCUCAUUCUUUGUCCCCAGGUCCCACGAUGUGAAAAACUUAAGUGAACUUACUCAUUCCACCCAUUGCCCCGGCCAGUCCUCUCCCCACCCGGUCAUCAGUCAUCGGCGUGUUGCCAACAAGCAGGCUACAUCCGGCCUGCUGGCCCACAGCUUCCCUCUCACAUGAGAAAGAUAUCACCUCACUUGAACGGGACCAGGCCUCUGAAAGACACGCCAAGCAGUUUCAUGUCCGGUCUGAAUGGAAGUCCCAGUGUCAGCAGGGCUCGUCCUGCUGACACUCCUACAGGAGUUAACAGCUGCCCUGGGAUUGCAGAGCACCCUAAGGAGCAAAACCUCACCAUCGGCAUUCAGGACAAGCCUGUUCUCCAAGCACAAACUCAGCCUAACCAACAUAGCAAUUCCGGGGAGGCCUCUAACAAGCCUGUCCCUCCUACUGCCAUCAGCUGCUCUGCGAUACAGUCCUUCUUGAAUGCACUGACAGUGCUGGUUUCUAGUGAGGCAGCAAAGCCACUCUCCCCAAGCGAGUCAUGCUCCAAACCGGUAAUCAAUGGCGGAUCCAAGGUGAGCUCCAGUGUGCUGGUCCCCUAUGGUGCACAGUCAUCGGAAGAGUCUGACAAGAGGUCCAAGGGCCUGGCCAAGGGGAACGGUAUGGGCAGGAUAGCCACAGCUCACGGUGCUGGCCAUAACGCCGGAGAUGAGGAGGCCCCGCCACAUGAGCUUCAAGAACCUGUCACUCUAAAUGGUGCUAAUAGUACAGACAAUGACCCGAAGGAAAACGGCCUGUCAUUUGAGGGUGCCAGUUGCCAAGUCCAGCCUGCUUUGCACUCAGAAUAUCCUUUUUCUAAAGCAAACGGUCUUCCUGGAGUGGAGAGUUGGUUGGGGAAGGCUUGGUUUUGA
RNAcentral lists this long non-coding RNA (1146 nucleotides) under Chinchilla lanigera (long-tailed chinchilla). RNAcentral's name for it is "lncRNA (ENSCLAG00000024862.1)". The record is from RNAcentral. Lineage: Eukaryota; Metazoa; Chordata; Mammalia; Rodentia; Chinchillidae.